AGGACGAACGCUGGCGGCGUGCUUAACACAUGCAAGUCGAACGAACCACAGACCUUCGGGUCUGUGGUGAGUGGCGAACGGGUGAGUAACACGUGGGCAACCUGCCCUUGACGACUGGAAUAACAGCUGGAAACAGCUGCUAAUACCGGAUACGACCUUCGAUGGCACCAGUCUGGAGGUGGAAAGCUCCGGCGGUCAAGGAUGGGCUCGCGGCCUAUCAGCGUUGUUGGUGAGGUAACGGCUCACCAAGGCUUCGACGGGUA
This 263-nucleotide ribosomal RNA is filed under the name uncultured bacterium. Its description in RNAcentral is "partial small subunit ribosomal RNA". It matches the Rfam family "Bacterial small subunit ribosomal RNA", at positions 26 to 285 of the family's 1533-position model. The record is from RNAcentral.